This 253-nucleotide ribosomal RNA is filed under the name uncultured bacterium. RNAcentral describes it as "partial 16S ribosomal RNA". It matches the Rfam family "Bacterial small subunit ribosomal RNA", at positions 524 to 776 of the family's 1533-position model. The record is from RNAcentral.
GACAGAGGGUGCAAACGUUGUUCGGAAUGACUGGGCGUAAGGCGCGUGUAGGCGGCUCGGCAAGUCGGAUGUGAAAGCCCUGGGCUCAACCCAGGAAGUGCACUCGAAACUGCCGAGCUGGAGUCCCGGAGAGGAAGGCGGAAUUCUCGGUGUAGAGGUGAAAUUCGUAGAUAUCGAGAGGAACACCGGUGGCGAAGGCGGCCUUCUGGACGGCGACUGACGCUGAGACGCGAAAGCGUGGGGAGCAAACAGG